GGCAGGAAAUGAGUAAAGAGGAAGGGGGCUGGAAGACAGGCGCAGGCUGGUGCAGGUUUCCGUACCCCAAGGGGGCAGACGCAAUCCCUCUCCUGGCCACCGCAGCCGAACGCGCUCCUUCACUGCAGCCAGUCCCGUCGAGCCGUCCCCACCUUCCCGAUGCGCACUCUCUCCUCAACCCUGCAGGGAAGGCGAAGAAUGGCAAAGGCUCCGCAGUCUCCUGGCCCCGCUCCUCCUCCGGCCUCAAGCGGCCGCCCGAUACGCCGGAACCCUGAACAACGUAGUUUGCGACCUUGUGCGGCGUCUGAGGCGCCAGCGGGGACGUGGCACGGGGCCGCCCGCCCUGGUUCGGGACGUGGCGGGGGAAUUUUACAAGUUCGGACUGGAAGGCAUCGCCGCGGUUCUGCUCGGCUCGCGCUUGGGCUGCCUGGAGGCUCAAGUGCCGCCCGACACGGAGACCUUCAUCCGCGCUGUGGGCUCGGUGUUUGUGUCCACGCUGUUGACCAUGGCGAUGCCCCACUGGCUGCGUCACCUUGUGCCUGGGCCCUGGGGCCGCCUCUGCCGAGACUGGGACCAGAUGUUUGCAUUUGCUCAGAGGCACGUGGAGCGGCGAGAGGCAGAGGCAGCCAUGAGGAACGGAGGACAGCCCGAGAAGGACCUGGAGUCUGGGGCGCACCUGACCCACUUCCUGUUCCGGGAAGAGUUGCCUGCCCAGUCCAUCCUGGGAAAUGUAACAGAGUUGCUAUUGGCGGGAGUGGACACGGUGAGGUUCUCCCUCCGUGCUGUGAGCCGGUUCCAGGGCUUAGCCUCCGCAGACUCCGGGGCCAUUUUUCUGUUGCAGGCGAUCCAUUAUGGCCACGUAGGCCAGCUUGGCUUAGCACCCUGUAGCCCCAGACUCUUCCAUAAUCUGCACCCUCUGCUGGGUUCUCACACCCAACACCUCUCUUGCUUUCACAUGUUUUUCAGGUGUCCA
This 973-nucleotide small RNA is filed under the name Pan troglodytes (chimpanzee). Its description in RNAcentral is "retained intron". The record is from RNAcentral. Lineage: Eukaryota; Metazoa; Chordata; Mammalia; Primates; Hominidae.